RNAcentral lists this ribosomal RNA (253 nucleotides) under uncultured bacterium. RNAcentral describes it as "partial 16S ribosomal RNA". It matches the Rfam family "Bacterial small subunit ribosomal RNA", at positions 524 to 776 of the family's 1533-position model. The record is from RNAcentral.
GACGAACCGAGCGAACGUUGUUCGGAAUCACUGGGCUUAAAGGGCGCGUAGGCGGGCUGCCGCGUCCGGGGUGAAAGCCUCCCGCUCAACGGGAGAACGGCCUCGGAUACGGGCGGCCUCGAGGGGGGUAGGGGCACCUGGAACUGUGGGUGGAGCGGUGAAAUGCGUUGAUAUCCACAGGAACUCCGGUGGCGAAGGCGAGGUGCUGGACCCCUCCUGACGCUGAGGCGCGAAAGCCAGGGGAGCGAACGGG